Molecule: long non-coding RNA, 1415 nt
Organism: Cornus florida
Lineage: Eukaryota; Viridiplantae; Streptophyta; Magnoliopsida; Cornales; Cornaceae
Exons: 10
Source: RefSeq, a predicted model, not a curated record
UUCGCAGGGCACUUGGGAAUUGGGAGUUGAGAGUAGUGCGGUGCCCCAAGUUUAUAUACAGGUCGGUCUAUAAAAUGAGAUGAGAGGCGGGGUAGGGGAAAGAAGAGGCUACUCUAUAGAGUGAGUUCUUCUGAUUUAGGGUUCUUAUGAAAAUUGCGAGUUGAGAGUUAGGGCGUUGCCCCAAGUUUAUAGACUGGCCGGUCUAUAUAAUGAGAUGAGAAGGGGAAAGAAGAGGCUACUCCAUAGAUAUUCAAUAAUGACUGAAGAAGAAAAUUCAGACGAAGUGAAGGAGGAUGCGGGCUGAUAUUUCCCCAUUUGAUCCUACAAAAAACUGAAAAAUAAGUAAAAGAAGAAAGUGGUUAUUCUUGAUCUUGCAAAUGAUUCUCUGGAUAAGUUGGCUGAGAAAAUCGAAAGUUUGUCAGGUCCCAUAAUUAUGCUGAUGCAUCUGUCAUUGCACCCACACAGUUUCUGAUGGGCUUGAGACUACCUUUUCUGGCCUGAAAAGAAGAAGAAGAAACGUUAUGAUACAAGAGAAAGACAGAAAUGAUGUUUAAGUAGCUGAUGUACAGGCUAGGGGGAAUGGAGAAUAUGGCUGUUUUACAAAAGUAAGGAACACUACCUUAUUUGCCGUGUGGGUUUACUUCUUACUGGAGUGAAGUUGAUUGGGCCGCAGAGUGAGGGAGGAGGAUAAGUGGAGAAUGGAGAAUUAGGUGGGAGAAAAUGAUGAAUGAUGGGCUUGAGACUACCUUUUCUGGUCUGAAAGAAGAAGAAGAAACGUGCAGACAGAGCAUGUCAUGACUUUCUUGCUGGCUGAAAUUGGGAUGAGUGGAUCACUUGAUGGACAACAAAGAUAGUUGUGAAGGGAAGGUGUGGAACCAAAUUUUUUUGAGGGGAUCCCGGGGAUAUGUCAGUAAGUAUGUCAUCUGCAAUGGGUGAAAUGUCCAGACACAAUUCUUUUGAAGGAGAAUUGGCUGUUCUUUCUUAAAUGUGAGAAGAUGAGUAUGUCAUCUGCAAUGGGUGCAAAUGUCCAGAGACAAUUCUUUUGAAGGAGAAUUGGCUGUUAUUUCUCAAAUGUGAGAAGAUGAGUAUGCCAUCUGCAAUGGGUGCAAAUGUCCAGACAAAAUUCUUUUGAAGGAGAAUUGGCUAUUCUUUCUCAAAUGUGAGAAGAUGAGUAUGUCAUCUGCAAUGGGUGCAAAAGUCCAGACACAAUGCUUUCAAAGUAGAAUUGGCUGUGUUCUUUCUCAAACGGGAGAAUGUAGUGUUUCAUUUGUUUUAACUUUUGAUGCCGGGUGUAACCUACUAUGACAAUCUGCCCUCGCUUUAUUCUUGCUCUAUAUUUUACAUUAACCAUGAAACAAUCAUUUAAGAACUUUAAAACUUCUUGUUAUUUGAGAUGCAAGUUACCUUUUCUUUUC